Long non-coding RNA from Cucurbita maxima (winter squash), 592 nucleotides. RefSeq lists it as uncharacterized. NCBI's taxonomy places the organism in Eukaryota, Viridiplantae, Streptophyta, Magnoliopsida, Cucurbitales, Cucurbitaceae. The transcript is spliced from 4 exons. The record is from RefSeq and is a predicted model, not a curated record.
UCCAUCUAAAUUAAUUAAAUACAACCCCAGCGCCUGCGUCCCUUUCCCUGCAAUUGUUGAUAUAUCCAUUUCCUCUCAGAUUUAGGGUUCAUGGGGUUUUCUUGGUUUGAUGUGGGUUUGUUUAGCAAAGGACUUCCCCACAGAGUUUAUUGGCAUUCUGUCCACCUCCGUUCCCGGCUUCAGCGAGUGUCUGGUUGGGGUUUUAUAUGAUGAUGAUGGGGAGGUGGGCAUUCUGCCAAUUCAGCUCUGUCGGAUUCUCUUUGUAACACCCCUCAUUACAAAGAAGUUGAAAUCAAGGCUUGUUUACAAGCUCACGGGGCCGAAAUCAUAAUGAUGAUGAACGCAAAGGGCGGCGCGCGUGUGUUUCAGUCGGCGGUUCGCGGCGGCGAUUGGAGGCCACGGAUUGUUUAUGGACGGGUGUUGGUUUGUUUGAAGGUUUGCGUAUUUUCUGGGUUUAUUUUUUGGUAUUGGAAUUUGAGCCUAUGAAGAUCUGAUUUGAUCUUCUUCUUUUAGCUUUGGAGUUAGGGUUUGGUGUUUUAAGAUAUGAUUUAAAGUAUUCAAAAAAAAAUAUAAUUCAAAUAUUCAAACUACC